Molecule: long non-coding RNA, 1018 nt
Organism: Oncorhynchus tshawytscha (Chinook salmon)
Lineage: Eukaryota; Metazoa; Chordata; Actinopteri; Salmoniformes; Salmonidae
Source: Ensembl
GGAUAGUAUAAAUAUUAUUGACAUCAAAUCAAGCCUGUUGAUUAUUCAGCAUCAUUCUUAUUGCUUCCAGACCACACACAGGGCCAAACAUCCAUACGACAGAAAUAUUGGCAAAAUUCAUUAAUAAAUGUUAAUAAAUGUUUUAACAGUUCCAUAUGAAGAAAAUGCUCAUUUAUACAUUUCACAUUUUCCUACUAUUUCUUUGAUUUAUAUUUUCGUUCCUAUCCCCACUACACCAAUCGAAGAUACUAAAUCAACGCAUACAAUUGUUGAGGUUAAGUUGUCUAUUGGACUCGCCAGUCUCCAGAUGGUGCAACCUGCAGGGUUGACAUUCUUCUAGAAGUCUUUAACGAGAAAAACUAAAGAACUAAAUGGAUUUAGGCAAAACAAUAAGUAGGUUUAACACCACAAUUAUGAACAAUAUGUAGGCUUAACACCACAAUAAUAAACAAUAUGUAGGCUUAACACCACAAUAAUAAACAAUAUGUAGGCUUAACACCACAAUAAUAAACAAUAUGUAGGUUUAACACCACAAUAAUAAACAAUAUGUAGGCUUAACACCACAAUAAUAAACAAUAUGUAGGCUUAACACCACAAUAAAACAAUAUGUAGGCUUAACACCACAAUAAUAAACAAUAUGUAGGCUUAACACCACAAUAAAACAAUAUGUAGGCUUAACACCACAAUAAUAAACAAUAUGUAGGUUUAAUACCACAAUAAUAAACAAUAAAUUGACUUGACAUAGGCAUAUGUUUCUAAUAUGCUUUUUGUUUGGAUGUCCUGGACAGUUUUUUUUCGCGCUACGGGUGCAAACCUCAUCUAGGCAAAACACCCACUGGGAAGGUGUCAUCAAAAAGUUGAGUUUAUGUUGUAAAAUUUAGUUCGGUGGUGGUCACGAAAUUUCCCAAAGCUCAUAGGCCCACAUUACGGAGAAUAUCAUGUGGUCAGCUGUUCAUUUUUCUUAGAGAUGUUAAUGACAUUUUCCUUGUAUUUACUUCAGUAUUUUCUAUGCGACACA